Molecule: ribosomal RNA, 279 nt
Filed under: uncultured bacterium
Lineage: Bacteria
Description: partial 16S ribosomal RNA
Rfam family: Bacterial small subunit ribosomal RNA
Source: RNAcentral
UGCCAGCCGCCGCGGUAAUACGGAGGGUGCAAGCGUUGUUCGGAAUCAUUGGGCGUAAAGCGCGCGUAGGCGGUUUGGCAAGUCGGAUGUGAAAUCCCGGGGCUCAACCCCGGAACUGCAUUCGAUACUGCUUGACUAGAGUCUCGGAGAGGUAGGCGGAAUUCCCGGUGUAGAGGUGAAAUUCGUAGAUAUCGGGAGGAACACCAGUGGCGAAGGCGGCCUACUGGACGAUGACUGACGCUGAGGUGCGAAAGCGUGGGGAGCGAACAGGAUUAGAUA